RNAcentral lists this ribosomal RNA (819 nucleotides) under Staphylococcus hominis. Its description in RNAcentral is "bacterial SSU rRNA". It matches the Rfam family "Bacterial small subunit ribosomal RNA", at positions 76 to 873 of the family's 1533-position model. The record is from RNAcentral. Lineage: Bacteria; Bacillati; Bacillota; Bacilli; Caryophanales; Staphylococcaceae.
UAGCUUGCUCCUUUGACGUUAGCGGCGGACGGGUGAGUAACACGUGGGUAACCUACCUAUAAGACUGGGAUAACUUCGGGAAACCGGAGCUAAUACCGGAUAAUAUUUCGAACCGCAUGGUUCGAUAGUGAAAGAUGGCUCUGCUAUCACUUAUAGAUGGACCUGCGCCGUAUUAGCUAGUUGGUAAGGUAACGGCUUACCAAGGCAACGAUACGUAGCCGACCUGAGAGGGUGAUCGGCCACACUGGAACUGAGACACGGUCCAGACUCCUACGGGAGGCAGCAGUAGGGAAUCUUCCGCAAUGGGCGAAAGCCUGACGGAGCAACGCCGCGUGAGUGAUGAAGGUCUUCGGAUCGUAAAACUCUGUUAUUAGGGAAGAACAAACGUGUAAGUAACUGUGCACGUCUUGACGGUACCUAAUCAGAAAGCCACGGCUAACUACGUGCCAGCAGCCGCGGUAAUACGUAGGUGGCAAGCGUUAUCCGGAAUUAUUGGGCGUAAAGCGCGCGUAGGCGGUUUUUUAAGUCUGAUGUGAAAGCCCACGGCUCAACCGUGGAGGGUCAUUGGAAACUGGAAAACUUGAGUGCAGAAGAGGAAAGUGGAAUUCCAUGUGUAGCGGUGAAAUGCGCAGAGAUAUGGAGGAACACCAGUGGCGAAGGCGACUUUCUGGUCUGUAACUGACGCUGAUGUGCGAAAGCGUGCGGAUCAAACAGGAUUAGAUACCCUGGUAGUCCACGCCGUAAACGAUGAGUGCUAAGUGUUAGGGGGUUUCCGCCCCUUANUGCUNCCGCUAAUGCAUUAAGCACUCCACCUGUUUU